RNAcentral lists this ribosomal RNA (468 nucleotides) under uncultured bacterium. Its description in RNAcentral is "partial 16S ribosomal RNA". It matches the Rfam family "Bacterial small subunit ribosomal RNA", at positions 28 to 507 of the family's 1533-position model. The record is from RNAcentral.
GACGAACGCUGGCGGCGUGCUUAACACAUGCAAGUCGAACGGAAAGGCCCUGCUUUUGUGGGGUGCUCGAGUGGCGAACGGGUGAGUAACACGUGAGUAACCUGCCCUUGACUUUGGGAUAACUUCAGGAAACUGGGGCUAAUACCGGAUAGGAGCUCCUGCUGCAUGGUGGGGGUUGGAAAGUUUCGGCGGUUGGGGAUGGACUCGGGGCUUAUCAGCUUGUUUGUGGGGUAGUGGCUUACCAAGGCUUUGACGGGUAGCCGGCCUGAGAGGGUGACCGGCCACGUUGGGACUGAGAGGCGGCCCGGACCCCGAGGGGGGGCGGAGGGGGGAAUUAGGGAAAAAGGGCGGGGGGCCUAAAACGGCCGCCCCCGGGGGGGAAAAACGUCUUUGGGGUGAUGACCGCCUUGCGCCUGUAAAAAAGGUGGAGGGAGGGAAGGGGGAAAAAAAGAACGGGCUAAUUACGGG